GACGAACGCUGGCGGCGUGCUUAACACAUGCAAGUCGAACGGAAAGGCCCUGCUUGCGGGGUACUCGCGUGGCGAACGGGGGUGUAAAACGUGGGUGUUCUGCCCUGCACUUCGGGGUAAGCCUGGGGAACAGGGUCGAAUACAGGGUAGGAGCGAUCCUUAGUGAGAUGGGGGGAAAGUUUUUUCGGGGUAGGGUGGGCUGGCGGGCUGUCUGGUUGCUGGUGGGGGAAUGGGCUACCAAGGCGGUCAUGGGUAGCCGGCCCGGGAGGGUGGACGGCCACCAUGGGACCGGGAUACGGCCCAGAAUCCCACGGGGGGCAGGAGGGGGGAAUAAUGGACCAUGGGGGGAAGCCCGAUGGCGGGACGCCGCGGGGGGGAUGACGGCCUUUGGGUUGGAAACCCCUUUCGCUAGGGACGAAGCUGUUUGUGACGGUACCUAGAGAAGAAGCACCGGCUAACUACGUG
This 465-nucleotide ribosomal RNA is filed under the name uncultured bacterium. Its description in RNAcentral is "partial 16S ribosomal RNA". It matches the Rfam family "Bacterial small subunit ribosomal RNA", at positions 28 to 507 of the family's 1533-position model. The record is from RNAcentral.